GACGUAGGGGGCGAGCGUUACCCGGAGUCACUGGGCGUAAAGGGCGUGUAGGCGGCUGGGUACGCCGCGUGUGAAAGUCCCCGGCUCAACCGGGGAGGGUCGCGCGGGACGGCCUGGCUCGAGGGCGGGAGAGGCGGGUGGAAUUCCCGGUGUAGCGGUGAAAUGCGUAGAGAUCGGGAGGAACGCCGGUGGCGAAGGCGGCCCGCUGGCCCGUCCCUGACGCUGAGGCGCGAAGGCGUGGGGAGCGAACCGG
RNAcentral lists this ribosomal RNA (253 nucleotides) under uncultured bacterium. RNAcentral's name for it is "partial 16S ribosomal RNA". It matches the Rfam family "Bacterial small subunit ribosomal RNA", at positions 524 to 776 of the family's 1533-position model. The record is from RNAcentral.